Molecule: ribosomal RNA, 490 nt
Filed under: uncultured bacterium
Lineage: Bacteria
Description: partial 16S ribosomal RNA
Rfam family: Bacterial small subunit ribosomal RNA
Source: RNAcentral
AUUGAACGCUGGCGGCAGGCUUAACACAUGCAAGUCGAGCGGUAGCACAGGGGAGCUUGCUCCCUGGGUGACGAGCGGCGGACGGGUGAGUAAUGUCUGGGAAACUGCCUGAUGGAGGGGGAUAACUACUGGAAACGGUAGCUAAUACCGCAUAACGUCGCAAGACCAAAGAGGGGGACCUUCGGGCCUCUUGCCAUCAGAUGUGCCCAGAUGGGAUUAGCUAGUAGGUGGGGUAAUGGCUCACCUAGGCGACGAUCCCUAGCUGGUCUGAGAGGAUGACCAGCCACACUGGAACUGAGACACGGUCCAGACUCCUACGGGAGGCAGCAGUGGGGAAUAUUGGACAAGGGGCGCAAGCCUGAUGCAGCCAUGCCGCGUGUGGGAAGAAGGCCUUCGGGUUGUAAAGCACGUUCAGCGAGGAGGAAGGUGGUGAGCUUAAUACGUUCAUCAAUUGACGUUACUCGCAGAAGAAGCACCGGCUAACUCCGUG